CCUUUAAAUUUUAGCGGCGGACGGGUGAGUAACACGUGGGUAACCUACCUUAUAGAUUGGGAUAACUCCGGGAAACCGGGGCUAAUACCGAAUAAUACUUUUUAACACAUGUUUUGAAGUUGAAAGACGGUCUUGCUGUCACUAUAAGAUGGACCCGCGGCGCAUUAGCUAGUUGGUGAGGUAACGGCUCACCAAGGCAACGAUGCGUAGCCGACCUGAGAGGGUGAUCGGCCACACUGGGACUGAGACACGGCCCAGACUCCUACGGGAGGCAGCAGUAGGGAAUCUUCCACAAUGGACGAAAGUCUGAUGGAGCAACGCCGCGUGAGUGAAGAAGGAUUUCGGUUCGUAAAACUCUGUUGCAAGGGAAGAACAAGUAGCGUAGUAACUGGCGCUACCUUGACGGUACCUUGUUAGAAAGCCACGGCUAACUACGUGCCAGCAGCCGCGGUAAUACGUAGGUGGCAAGCGUUGUCCGGAAUUAUUGGGCGUAAAGCGCGCGCAGGUGGUUCCUUAAGUCUGAUGUGAAAGCCCCCGGCUCAACCGGGGAGGGUCAUUGGAAACUGGGGAACUUGAGUGCAGAAGAAGAUAGUGGAAUUCCAAGUGUAACGGUGAAAUGCGUAGAGAUUUGGAGGAACACCAGUGGCGAAGGCGACUGUCUGGUCUGUAACUGACACUGAGGCGCGAAAGCGUGGGGAGC
RNAcentral lists this ribosomal RNA (700 nucleotides) under Bacillus sp. RS-BIW-27. Its description in RNAcentral is "bacterial SSU rRNA". It matches the Rfam family "Bacterial small subunit ribosomal RNA", at positions 82 to 769 of the family's 1533-position model. The record is from RNAcentral. Lineage: Bacteria; Bacillati; Bacillota; Bacilli; Caryophanales; Bacillaceae.